Molecule: ribosomal RNA, 360 nt
Filed under: uncultured bacterium
Lineage: Bacteria
Description: bacterial SSU rRNA
Rfam family: Bacterial small subunit ribosomal RNA
Source: RNAcentral
AGAGUUUGAUCCUGGCUCAGGAUGAACGCUAGCUACAGGCUUAACACAUGCAAGUCGAAGGGGAAACGAUAUUGGAAGCGUUGCUUCCGAGUAGGCGUCGACCGGCGUACGGGUGAGUAACGCGUAUCCAACCUGCCCACCACUUGGGGAUAACCUUGCGAAAGUAAGACUAAUACCCAAUGACGUCUCUAGAAGACAUCUGAAAGAGAUUAAAGAUUUAUCGGUGAUGGAUGGGGAUGCGUCUGAUUAGCUUGUUGGCGGGGUAACGGGCCCACCAAGGCGACGAUCAGUAGGGGUUCUGAGAGGAAGGCCCCCCACAUUGGAACUGAGACACGGUCCAAACUCCUACGGGAGGCAGCA